Molecule: unclassified non-coding RNA, 339 nt
Filed under: soil metagenome
Description: partial contains 5.8S ribosomal RNA, internal transcribed spacer 2, and large subunit ribosomal RNA
Rfam family: 5.8S ribosomal RNA (bases 1-120)
Source: RNAcentral
GAUGAAGAACGUAGCGAAAUGCGAUAAGUAAUGCGAAUUGCAGAAUUCCGUGAGUCAUCGAAUCUUUGAACGCACAUUGCGCCCUCUGGUAUUCCGGAGGGCAUGCCUGACUGAGCGUCAUUGUCAACCCUCAAGCUCAGCUUGCUGUUGGGUCCCCGUCGUUGCUUUAACGGCGGACCCGAAAGGUAAUGGCAGAGUCCGUGAGACCCUAGACGCAGCGAGCUUCUAGCACGCGUCUGGACGUUUUUCGGGCUCGGUCUUAACUAGAUGAUAACUUCCGAUUGACCUCAGAUCAGGUAGGGAUACCCGCUGAACUUAAGCAUAUCAAUAAGCGGAGGA